This 489-nucleotide ribosomal RNA is filed under the name uncultured bacterium. RNAcentral's name for it is "bacterial SSU rRNA". It matches the Rfam family "Bacterial small subunit ribosomal RNA", at positions 30 to 508 of the family's 1533-position model. The record is from RNAcentral.
AUUGAACGCUGGCGGCAGGCCUAACACAUGCAAGUCGGACGGUAGCACAGAGAGCUUGCUCUCGGGUGACGAGUGGCGGACGGGUGAGUAAUGUCUGGGGAUCUGCCCGAUAGAGGGGGAUAACCACUGGAAACGGUGGCUAAUACCGCAUAACGUCGCAAGACCAAAGAGGGGGACCUUCGGGCCUCUCACUAUCGGAUGAACCCAGAUGGGAUUAGCUAGUAGGCGGGGUAAUGGCCCACCUAGGCGACGAUCCCUAGCUGGUCUGAGAGGAUGACCAGCCACACUGGAACUGAGACACGGUCCAGACUCCUACGGGAGGCAGCAGUGGGGAAUAUUGCACAAUGGGCGCAAGCCUGAUGCAGCCAUGCCGCGUGUAUGAAGAAGGCCUUCGGGUUGUAAAGUACUUUCAGCGGGGAGGAAGGCGAUGGGGUUAAUAACCCUGUCGAUUGACGUUACCCGCAGAAGAAGCACCGGCUAACUCCGUGC